Molecule: ribosomal RNA, 2896 nt
Filed under: Bacteroidetes bacterium 2013_40CM_41_45
Lineage: Bacteria; Pseudomonadati; Bacteroidota
Description: bacterial LSU rRNA
Rfam family: Bacterial large subunit ribosomal RNA
Source: RNAcentral
AAAAGUUACUAAGGGCGCAUGGCGGAUGCCUUGGCUCUCAUAGGCGAUGAAGGACGUGAUUACCUGCGAAAAGCUUCGGGAAGGUGGAAAUAACCGUUAAUCCGAAGAUAUCCGAAUGAGGAAACUCUAUACCAUGAAGUGGUAUAAUCCUUCGUAAGAAGGAAGCAAACCCGGGGAACUGAAACAUCUAAGUACCUGGAGGAAAAGAAAACAAACUAGUGAUACCCUAAGUAGUGGCGAGCGAACAGGGAACAGCCCAAACCAAAACGGUCAAGGCCAUUUUGGGGUUGUAGGACUGCAACGUAAAUGCAAAAGCAAAGCUGAAGCUUCUGGAAAGUAGCAUCAUAGAGGGUGAUAAUCCCGUAAGCGUAAACAAUUGCAUUUUAGCAGUAUCCUGAGUACUGCGGGGUCGGAGACGCCCUGCAGGAAACUGCCGGCACCAUCCGGUAAGGCUAAACACUCAUGAGAGACCGAUAGUGAACCAGUACCGUGAGGGAAAGGUGAAAAGAACCUCGAACAGAGGAGUGAAAUAGAACCUGAAACCAUGCGCUUGCAAGCGGUUGGAGUCCCGGCUUGCCGGGAUGACAGCGUGCCUUUUGCAUAAUGAGCCUACGAGUUACUCCUUUCUGGCAAGGAUAAGUUCUUCAAGAACGCAUCCGAAGCGAAAGCAUGUCUGAAUAGGGCAUCAAGUCAGAAGGGGUAGACGCGAAACUUUGUGAUCUACCCAUGACCAGGUUGAAACUCCGAUAAAACGGGGUGGAGGACCGAACUGGUGAGCGUUGAAAAGCUCUCGGAUGAGUUGUGGGUAGGGGUGAAAGGCUAAUCAAACUGAGAAAUAGCUCGUACUCCCCGAAAUGUUUUUAGGAACAGCCUCAGGAUAAUUGUCAUAGAGGUAGAGCUACUGAUUGGGCUAGGGUCCUUCACCGGAUACCAAACCCAGACAAACUCCGAAUGCUAUCGACAUAAUUCCUGGGAGUGAGCCCAUGGGUGCUAAGGUCCGUGGGCGAGAGGGAAACAACCCAGAUUAUCAGCUAAGGUCCCAAAAUAUAUACUAAGUUGAUUAAACGUGGUUUGAUUGCAUUGACAGCUAGGAUGUUGGCUUGGAAGCAGCCAUUCAUUUAAAGAGUGCGUAACAGCUCACUAGUCGAGCGAUCGAGCGUGGAUAAUAAACGGGCAUUAAGUAUAAUACCGAAGCUAUAACAUCCGUCAUCUGACGGAUGGGUAGGGGAGCAUUUCAUAGACACAGAAGGAGUUGCGUAAGCAGCUCUGGAGUUAAUGAAAAAGCCAAUGUAGGCAUAAGUAACGAUAAUCCAGAUGAAAAAUCUGGACACCGAAAGACUAAGGUUUCCUGAUCAACGCUAAUCGGAUCAGGGUUAGUCGGGUCCUAAGAUGUAUCCAAACGGAAAAGUCAAUGGACAACAGGUUAAUAUUCCUGUACUAGUAUAAAUAGUGAUGAGAGGACGAAGUAGUGAAAGGUCUGCGCGGCAACGGAUGUUCGCGUUAAAGAGCGUAGGUAUAUGAUCAACCGGAAAAUCCGUUGGUUAUGCCGAAACUCGACAGUACCGAGAGUCUCCGGACAAUCGGAUAAUGACCGUAAUCAAACUUCCGAGAAAAUUCUCUAAACUUAUGUUUAUACUACCCGUACCGCAAACCGACACAGGCAGUCGAGAAGAAAAUUCUAAGGUGCUUGAGUGAUCCAUGGCUAAGGAACUCGGCAAAUUGACCCCGUAACUUCGGAAUAAGGGGUACCCCACUUCGGUGGGGCCGCAGUGAAAUGGCCCAGGCGACUGUUUAACAAAAACACAUGGCUAUGCUAAAUCAUUAAGAUGAUGUAUAUGGCCUGACACCUGCCCGGUGCCGGAAGGUUAAGGAGAGAGGUUAGUCCGCAAGGACAAAGCUUUGAACCGAAGCCCCGGUAAACGGCGGCCGUAACUAUAACGGUCCUAAGGUAGCGAAAUUCCUUGUCGGGUAAGUUCCGACCUGCACGAAUGGUGUAACGAUCUGGGUACUGUCUCAGCCAUGAGCUCAGUGAAAUUGUAGUAUCGGUGAAGAUGCCGAUUACCCGCAACGGGACGGAAAGACCCCGUGCACCUUUACUAUAACUUAGCAUUGAUUUUGAAUAAAUGAUGUGUAGGAUAGGUGGGAGACUUUGAAGCGGUGGCGCCAGCUAUCGUGGAGUCGUCCUUGAAAUACCACCCUUCAUUUCUUUGGAGUCUAACUCCGCUUCAGCGGAAGACAUUGCUUGGUGGGUAGUUUGACUGGGGUGGUCGCCUCCAAAAGAGUAACGGAGGCUUUCAAAGGUACCCUCAGCACGCUUGGUAACCGUGCUUUGAGUGUAAUAGCAUAAGGGUGCUUAACUGUGAGACCUACAAGUCGAGCAGAAACGAAAGUUGGAUAUAGUGAUCCGGUGGUUCCGCAUGGAAGGGCCAUCGCUCAUAGGAUAAAAGGUACGCCGGGGAUAACAGGCUGAUCUCCCCCAAGAGCUCACAUCGACGGGGAGGUUUGGCACCUCGAUGUCGGCUCGUCACAUCCUGGGGCUGGAGAAGGUCCCAAGGGUUGAGCUGUUCGCUCAUUAAAGUGGCACGCGAGCUGGGUUCAGAACGUCGUGAGACAGUUCGGUCCCUAUCUGUUGUGGGCGUUUGAAGUUUGAGAGGACCUGACUCUAGUACGAGAGGACCGAGUCGGACGAACCUCUAGUGUACCUGUUGUCGCGCCAGCGGCACCGCAGGGUAGCUAUGUUCGGUUGAGAUAAGCGCUGAAAGCAUCUAAGCACGAAACUCGCUUCAAGAUUAAACUUCAUUAUUAGGGUCGUCAAAGAUUAUGACGUUGAUAGGUUGCAGGUCUAAAGACAGUAAUGUCAAAGCCGAGCAAUACUAAUCACCCGAAGAUUUUUUAC